This 273-nucleotide ribosomal RNA is filed under the name uncultured bacterium. RNAcentral's name for it is "partial 16S ribosomal RNA". It matches the Rfam family "Bacterial small subunit ribosomal RNA", at positions 524 to 796 of the family's 1533-position model. The record is from RNAcentral.
UACGAAGGGGGCGAGCGUUGUUCGGAAUUACUGGGCGUAAAGGGCGCGUAGGCGGCGCACCAAGUCAGGCGUGAAAGCCCUGGGCUUAACCCAGGAAUUGCGUUUGAGACUGGCGUGCUGGAGUGCAGGAGAGGUCGGCGGAAUUCCCAGUGUAGAGGUGAAAUUCGUAGAGAUUGGGAAGAACACCGGUGGCGUAGGCGGCCGACUGGACUGUAACUGACGCUGAGGCGCGAAAGCGUGGGGAGCAAACAGGAUUAGAAACCCCCGUAGUCC